RNAcentral lists this ribosomal RNA (378 nucleotides) under uncultured bacterium. Its description in RNAcentral is "bacterial SSU rRNA". It matches the Rfam family "Bacterial small subunit ribosomal RNA", at positions 521 to 896 of the family's 1533-position model. The record is from RNAcentral.
UAAUACGGAGGGGGCAAGCGUUGUUCGGAUUUACUGGGCGUAAAGGGUGUGUAGGCGGCUGGACAAGUCUGGUGUGAAAUCUUCACCGCUCAACGGGAAGGGGUCACUGGAAACUGUUCAGCUUGAGUAUGGUAGAGGCAAGCGGAAUUCCUGGUGUAGCGGUGGAAUGUGUAGAUAUCAGGAAGAACACCGGUGGCGAAGGCGGCUUGCUGGGCCAUCACUGACGCUGAGACACGAAAGCGUGGGGAGCAAACGGGAUUAGAUACCCCGGUAGUCCACGCUGUAAACUGUGCGCACUAGGUGUGGGGGGUAUCGACCCCUCCCGUGCCGACGCUAACGCAUUAAGUGCGCCGCCUGGGGAGUACGGCCGCAAGGUUG